UGGUUCCGGCAUCGAUGAAGAACGCAGCGAAAUGCGAUAAGUAAUGUGAAUUGCAGAAUUCAGCGAAUCAUCGAAUCUUUGAACGCACAUUGCGCUCCCUGGCAUUCCGGGGAGCAUGCCUGUUCGAGCGUCAUUGCAAAUCCGGGCCCUCGGGGCCCUGGUGUUGAGUGCCCGUUUUGACCAACGCACUUGAAAGUCAGCGGCGGGGCACUGUGUUUCCCCAGCGCAGUCGGACGAGUUCAUUCGCUCCGGAACCGGUGUGCCGCCCGAACCAUUUGCCCUCGGGCACUUUUUCCACGAUUGACCUCGGAUCAGGUAGGAAUACCCGCUGA
Molecule: unclassified non-coding RNA, 332 nt
Filed under: uncultured fungus
Lineage: Eukaryota; Fungi
Description: partial contains 5.8S ribosomal RNA and internal transcribed spacer 2
Rfam family: 5.8S ribosomal RNA (bases 1-133)
Source: RNAcentral